GAUGAACGCUGGCGGCGUGCCUAAUACAUGCAAGUCGAGCGAACAGACGAGGAGCUUGCUCCUCUGACGUUAGCGGCGGACGGGUGAGUAACACGUGGAUAACCUACCUAUAAGACUGGGAUAACUUCGGGAAACCGGAGCUAAUACCGGAUAACAUGUUGAACCGCAUGGUUCAACAGUGAAAGACGGUCUUGCUGUCACUUCUAGAUGGAUCCGCGCCGCAUUAGCUAGUUGGUAAGGUAACGGCUUACCAAGGCAACGAUGCGUAGCCGACCUGAGAGGGUGAUCGGCCACACUGGAACUGAGACACGGUCCAGACUCCGACGGGAGGCAGCAGUAGGGAAUCUUCCGCAAAGGGCGAAAGCCUGACGGAGCAACGCCGCGUGAGUGAAGAAGGGCUUCGGAUCGUAAAACGCUGUUAUUAGGGAAGAACAAAUGUGUAAGUAACGAUGCGCGUCUUGACGGUACCGAAUCAGAAAGCCACGGCUAACUACGG
RNAcentral lists this ribosomal RNA (496 nucleotides) under uncultured bacterium. Its description in RNAcentral is "partial 16S ribosomal RNA". It matches the Rfam family "Bacterial small subunit ribosomal RNA", at positions 28 to 506 of the family's 1533-position model. The record is from RNAcentral.